UGCCAGACUCCUACGGGAGGCAGCAGUGAGGAAUAUUGGUCAAUGGGCGAGAGCCUGAACCAGCCAAGUCGCGUGAAGGAUGACGGCCCUACGGGUUGUAAACUUCUUUUGUCAGGGAGCAAUUGGGUCCACGCGUGGGCUUAGCGAGAGUACCUGAAGAAAAAGCAUCGGCUAACUCCGUGCCAGCAGCCGCGGUAAUACGGAGGAUGCGAGCGUUAUCCGGAUUUAUUGGGUUUAAAGGGUGCGUAGGCGGAAUAUCAAGUCAGCGGUGAAAUACCGGGGCUCAACCCCGGGGCUGCCGUUGAAACCGGAGCGCUAGAAUUCCGAUGCCGUCGGAGGAAUGUGUGGUGUAGCGGUGAAAUGCAUAGAUAUCACACAGAACACCGAUUGCGAAGGCAUCUGACGAAUCGGAGAUUGACGCUGAUGCACGAAAGCGUGGGUAUCGAACAGGAUUAGAUACCCUAGUACU
RNAcentral lists this ribosomal RNA (469 nucleotides) under uncultured bacterium. RNAcentral describes it as "bacterial SSU rRNA". It matches the Rfam family "Bacterial small subunit ribosomal RNA", at positions 329 to 794 of the family's 1533-position model. The record is from RNAcentral.